Molecule: ribosomal RNA, 772 nt
Filed under: uncultured Neocallimastigales
Lineage: Eukaryota; Fungi; Neocallimastigomycota; Neocallimastigomycetes; Neocallimastigales
Description: partial large subunit ribosomal RNA
Rfam family: Eukaryotic large subunit ribosomal RNA (bases 5-662)
Source: RNAcentral
AGUACACGCUGUGACUAGCAUAUCAAUAAGCGGAGGAAAAGAAACUAACAAGGAUUCCCUUAGUAACGGCGAGUGAAGCGGGAAGAGCUCAAAUUUGAAAUCUUCAAGGUUUUACCUUGACGAAUUGUAGUUUAAAGAAGUGUUUUCUGCUGAAGUUUUGGUAAAAGUUCUUUGGAAUAGGACAUCAUAGAGGGUGAGAAUCCCGUAUUUGACCAUUAUUUUCAGCUUUGUGAUACACUUUCAAAGAGUCGGAUUGUUUGGGAAUGCAGUCCAAAAUGGGUGGUAAAUUUCAUCUAAGGCUAAAUAUUGGCGAGAGACCGAUAGCGAACAAGUACCGUGAGGGAAAGAUGAAAAGAACUUUGAAAAGAGAGUUAAAUAGUACGUGAAAUUGUCAAAAGGGAAGCGUUUAACACCAGUGUUGUUUUCUGAAAAUCAACCUCUGUUAGCUUUAUGCAUGUUUGUUUAGACCUAAUCAGCUAUCUUUCAUGUUCUAUUGUUUGCAGUGGUGCACUUUUCAGUUUACAGGUCAACAUCAGUUUUUUUUACCGUAAAAAAGUUAAAGAAAGGUAGCUCAUGGCUCCGGUCGUGAGUGUUAUAGUCUUUUUCCUAUGCGGUAGGAGAGACUGAGGUCUGCAGUGUAGGCUAUUUGGCUAGAUACUCAGGUGCUAUGUGAUACCAUUUCAUAAACAACUUGUUGAUUAUGUUUUGUCUAUUGCAUACUCGCUUGUACUAUCAUACCUACGCUUAGGAUGUUGAGUAGCGACAUACGCAC